This 492-nucleotide ribosomal RNA is filed under the name uncultured bacterium. RNAcentral describes it as "partial 16S ribosomal RNA". It matches the Rfam family "Bacterial small subunit ribosomal RNA", at positions 29 to 507 of the family's 1533-position model. The record is from RNAcentral.
AGUGAACGCUGGCGGUAGGCCUAACACAUGCAAGUCGAACGGCAGCACAGUAAGAGCUUGCUCUUACGGGUGGCGAGUGGCGGACGGGUGAGGAAUACAUCGGAAUCUACUUUUUCGUGGGGGAUAACGUAGGGAAACUUACGCUAAUACCGCAUACGACCUACGGGUGAAAGCAGGGGAUCUUCGGACCUUGCGCGAUUGAAUGAGCCGAUGUCGGAUUAGCUAGUUGGCGGGGUAAAGGCCCACCAAGGCGACGAUCCGUAGCUGGUCUGAGAGGGUGAUCAGCCACACUGGAACUGAGACACGGUCCAGACUCCUACGGGAGGCAGCAGUGGGGAAUAUUGGACAAUGGGCGCAAGCCUGAUCCAGCCAGACCGCGUGGGUGAAGAAGGCCUUCGGGUUGUAAAGCCCUUUUGUUGGGAAAGAAAAGCAGCAGGUUAAUACCCCGCUGUUCUGACGGUACCCAAAGAAUAAGCACCGGCUAACUUCGUG